GAUGAACGCUGGCGGCGUGCCUAAUACAUGCAAGUCGAGCGAACAGAUAAGGAGCUUGCUCCUUUGACGUUAGCGGCGGACGGGUGAGUAACACGUGGGUAACCUACCUAUAAGACUGGGAUAACUUCGGGAAACCGGAGCUAAUACCGGAUAACAUUUGGAACCGCAUGGUUCUAAAGUGAAAGAUGGUUUUGCUAUCACUUAUAGAUGGACCCGCGCCGUAUUAGCCAGUUGGUAAGGUAACGGCUUACCAAGGCGACGAUACGUAGCCGACCUGAGAGGGUGAUCGGCCACACUGGAACUGAGACACGGUCCAGACUCCUACGGGAGGCAGCAGUAGGGAAUCUUCCGCAAUAGGCGAAAGCCUGACGGAGCAACGCCGCGUGAGUGAUGAAGGGUUUCGGCUCGUAAAACUCUGUUAUUAGGGAAGAACAAAUGUGUAAGUAACUGUGCACGUCUUGACGGUACCUAAUCAGAAAGCCACGGCUAACUACGUG
This 497-nucleotide ribosomal RNA is filed under the name uncultured bacterium. Its description in RNAcentral is "partial 16S ribosomal RNA". It matches the Rfam family "Bacterial small subunit ribosomal RNA", at positions 28 to 507 of the family's 1533-position model. The record is from RNAcentral.